Molecule: long non-coding RNA, 678 nt
Filed under: Cyanistes caeruleus (blue tit)
Lineage: Eukaryota; Metazoa; Chordata; Aves; Passeriformes; Paridae
Description: lncRNA (ENSCCEG00000011866.1)
Source: RNAcentral
CUUUUGGAGAUUAGCAGAGCACUCCAGAAACACUAGAAACAUUUCUUCAUGAUGUUUUACCAGGUUGAACAUGCGAGAGAAGCCUGUUUUUCUCAGUUACCAGUGAAAAUUAGCUGUGCAAGGAGGAUCAACUACAACAGGCUGCUAAAGGAGGGUUCUCACCUAGGCCUGGGGCAAGAGAGCAGGUUGCAGACAAGACUUUUUCCUUGUUGGAGUGGAAGAAGCUCCUAUGCAAUAGAGGGCAAAAUCUGGAACUUGAAAUCAGAAAUAGCAUGGAUUUACCAAGACAGUAAACCACUGAGGCGAAGAGAAUGGCUGACCUGGGAGCCUGCAGCGUCAUGGGAAGUCCUCAAAUAGUCCAAACAUCAGGAAGGGAUCACAUAUAAACAAAAGCUGGCAAGUGGCAUUACAAAACAUGGAGAGAUGCCCUACAUUCACCAAAAGAGCAGGAUGGUCAAACCUGCAGACUGAGAAUGCCCACAUGCAGGCUUCCUGCUUGGAGUGAAAAGUGUUUCACCCACAGCUGGGUCAUUUGGAUCUGGAUCUUCCCAACACUGAAGCAAAAUAUUGUCUGAACACUCCCACAUGAAAGUAAAAUAAUUUCUAAGUAUUUUCACCUUUUCUGUAUUAUUAAAAUUACUUUUAAAUAUAUCCACAAUAAAUUGAUUCCAAAAAGAC